This 425-nucleotide long non-coding RNA is filed under the name Numida meleagris (helmeted guineafowl). Its description in RNAcentral is "lncRNA (ENSNMEG00000010412.1)". Lineage: Eukaryota; Metazoa; Chordata; Aves; Galliformes; Numididae. The record is from RNAcentral.
CCCAUCUCCUGAUGUGCGUGCACUUCUCUGUGUGGCCCUCACCUGAGGCCGCCAUUUUGUGUUUGAGGGAGCAUGGAGACUGUUCCCAACAGCUGAUGGGGAGGCUAUUUUUAUCAUGGUGAGAGAAAGCCAGAUCAUGAAAACUGGUCCUGCAAUGAAGGCAAGUACCAACUCAUCCACGAGAGUGUGACUUCACAGCCUGCACCAUGUCAUUCUUCUGGCAUUUUGCAUGGGAAAACGGUAAGAGUUGUAACCUUCAUGCACGUCUGUCAGCUUUUCUCAAAAGCUAAACCUAGGAGGAGGACGGCACUGAGGGCUUGAGUACUUAUUUCUAAAUACAUUUAUAUGGAUAGUCUUGAUCUGCUAAAUGGAACAAUUCAAAUAUAGCAAAUAAAUUAAUUGCUCUGGGGGCGUGUUGAUAAGAC